This 269-nucleotide ribosomal RNA is filed under the name uncultured archaeon. RNAcentral's name for it is "partial 16S ribosomal RNA". It matches the Rfam family "Archaeal small subunit ribosomal RNA", at positions 477 to 746 of the family's 1478-position model. The record is from RNAcentral.
CAGCACCUCAAGUGGUCAGGAUGAUUAUUGGGCCUAAAGCAUCCGUAGCCGGCUCUGUAAGUUUUCGGUUAAAUCUGUAUGCUCAACAUACAGGCUGCCGGGAAUACUGCAGAGCUAGGGAGUGGGAGAGGUAGACGGUACUCGGUAGGAAGGGGUAAAAUCCUUUGAUCUAUUGAUGACCACCUGUGGCGAAGGCGGUCUACCAGAACACGUCCGACGGUGAGGGAUGAAAGCUGGGGGAGCAAACCGGAUUAGAUACCCGAGUAGUC